GGAGACGUGUCCGAGAGGCUUAUGGUGACGGUCUUGAAAACCGUUGGGUGUCACAGCCCCGAGAGUUCGAAUCUCUCCGUCUCCGCCA
Molecule: transfer RNA, 88 nt
Filed under: Candidatus Bathyarchaeota archaeon
Lineage: Archaea; Thermoproteati; Candidatus Bathyarchaeota
Description: tRNA-Ser
Rfam family: tRNA
About the family: Transfer RNA (tRNA) molecules are approximately 80 nucleotides in length. Their secondary structure includes four short double-helical elements and three loops (D, anti-codon, and T loops).
Source: RNAcentral